RNAcentral lists this ribosomal RNA (608 nucleotides) under Clostridium perfringens. RNAcentral describes it as "bacterial SSU rRNA". It matches the Rfam family "Bacterial small subunit ribosomal RNA", at positions 826 to 1437 of the family's 1533-position model. The record is from RNAcentral. Lineage: Bacteria; Bacillati; Bacillota; Clostridia; Eubacteriales; Clostridiaceae.
GGGUUUCAACACCUCCGUGCCGCCGCUAACGCAUUAAGUAUUCCGCCUGGGGAGUACGGUCGCAAGAUUAAAACUCAAAGGAAUUGACGGGGACCCGCACAAGUAGCGGAGCAUGUGGUUUAAUUCGAAGCAACGCGAAGAACCUUACCUACACUUGACAUCCCUUGCAUUACUCUUAAUCGAGGAAAUCCCUUCGGGGACAAGGUGACAGGUGGUGCAUGGUUGUCGUCAGCUCGUGUCGUGAGAUGUUGGGUUAAGUCCCGCAACGAGCGCAACCCUUGUCGUUAGUUACUACCAUUAAGUUGAGGACUCUAGCGAGACUGCCUGGGUUAACCAGGAGGAAGGUGGGGAUGACGUCAAAUCAUCAUGCCCCUUAUGUGUAGGGCUACACACGUGCUACAAUGGCUGGUACAGAGAGAUGCAAUACCGCGAGGUGGAGCCAAACUUAAAAACCAGUCUCAGUUCGGAUUGUAGGCUGAAACUCGCCUACAUGAAGCUGGAGUUACUAGUAAUCGCGAAUCAGAAUGUCGCGGUGAAUACGUUCCCGGGUCUUGUACACACCGCCCGUCACACCAUGAGAGUUGGCAAUACCCGAAGUCCGUGAGCUA